CCCCCCUCCCGUUUAUAGGAAAAGAAAAACAUCCCCCGCUGGGCCGCAGCGGCACCACCACCCAAAGCAAAGCGGAGCUGCGGAAGCGCGAAGGGGACGCAAGGGAGCGAGGCGCUGCGCGGCAGCGGGCAAACCCUAGGCGUACGGCGGGCGCCACAACCCCCGGCGGAGGGCAGGCUCCGCACGGCUCGGCUCGAUUCUGCCGGCUCUGACCCCGCCAAGCGGCCAUGUCGAACAGGUCCAUUUGCAAGUUCUUUGUGAAUGGUGCUUGCUUUAAAGGAGACUACUGCCAAUUCUCCCAUGACUGGAAUGAUCAACCAAAUGAUGUCUGCACAUUUUACCAGAACGGUGUGUGCUCUUAUGGCAGUCGUUGCAGAUAUGAACAUGUUGAAGUUUCUUCUGAAUACACCCCACCAUCAACUACUGCAGCACUUGCACCAUCCAACUCUUAUCUGUCUUGGUGUCCUCUUUGUGAGGGGGAAAUAGAUGUGAGCAACCAGACACACAAAAGUUUAUCGGUAUGCUCUGUGCAUCAGUCUACCUGGAGAUUUGAUGAUGAAGAUUGCAUUCCAGAGGAUGGGAACAGCUUGUCAUCAGCACUAACUGCACAAAACCAAGCGCUCCACCCACUUGCUCAUCUGCCCAUAUGCUCUUUUGCCGCAGCUGGAACUUGUCCCUAUGGGAAAGAGUGCCCUCAGAUGCAUGGGGAUCCAUGCACAUCCUGUGGAAAACAGUGCUUGCAUCCCUACCGGCCCAGCGAAGGUGGGGCUCAUAUCAAGCUCUGCAAGAGAAACAACAAACGUCUUGAGACCUUGAAAAAAAGUGAAGAGAUGGAAUGUAGUGUGUGUUUGGACCGUGUGCUUUCAAAGCCCACAGCAGCGGAAAAGAGGUUUGGGCUUCUACCUGAAUGUGACCAUGCCUUCUGUAUCACAUGCAUUAGGAAGUGGCGCAGCAGCUCUCUUACAUCUUCUAUGGAUAUCGACUCUACAGUCAAGGCUUGUCCAAUAUGCCGCAAAGUCUCGUACUAUGUCAUUCCUAGUGCUACAUGGUACUCCUCGAAGGAGGAAAAACAGGAUAUAAUUGACGGUUACAAGGCCAAGCUCAAGUCGAUUGAUUGUAGGUACUUUGACUUUGGAAGGGACACUUGCCCCUUUGGUGGUCGAUGUUUCUACAAGCAUGCCUACACCGAUGGGCGUUUGGAGGAGCCGGCAACGGUGGCAGUGCUUCAUUUUCAUGCCGACAAUGGUAGUAUGGAGCAUGCAAGAAAUAUUGGGUUGGUACUCUAUUGGUGGUCUUCUCUAUAUAAUGUAUAACCUCUGCUUGCUUUCUGAUGAGAAAUUCUGAUGUAUAACCUCUGCUUGCAUAUCCGAUGGAAAAUUCUGUUCCAACAUGUAGAUUGGCGUACUUGCUCAGCCGGUUACAUCUGUAGCAUCCAGAAGGAAGCUGUUGAGAAGAGAAGUACGUACUUACUUAGGGAGCCAUAACUUUCUCUCCGGCUGGUGGUUGCUGCCAACUUAUAAUCCAAGGUAGUCAGCUGCUGUAAAAGCACUCCGGCUGGUGGUUGCUGCCAACUUAUAAUCCAAGGUAGUCAGCUGCUGUAAAAGCAGAGGGUUCCUGACGGUUGAUCCUGUCUUCUCAAGAAUUUCGUGGUUCUACUCUUUACUGCUGAAUGCAGAAACUUCAGUUUCCUGCCGUAAAUCUCCAAAAAAGUUACAAGACAACUGUAAAUCUAACGGCAGCGGAGAUGUCAUGCCUCAGGUCAUCACGGGUUCCUUGUCAUGAACAAUCGUUGUGUUGUCUUUGGGCUAGGAGUUCUCCUGUCGAACAUCAGAACUUCACGUCGUUACCUUGCCUGUGUACGAAAGACACUGUAUAUACUCGUAGUGGUACAUCCUGUCCGUUUCUCGUCCAUGGAGUAAAUAAUUUGUUCAGGCUAUAAAGGUAGAACAGUGCAACGCAGAUCUUUCUAUACGUGAAUUUAUGCUUUGGCCCGCGGGUUGAAGCCUGUAAGGUCUCGGUGCUA
Triticum aestivum (bread wheat) is the source of this 2023-nucleotide RNA transcript. It is a transcript of the gene named E3 ubiquitin-protein ligase makorin, with no coding region annotated. The record is from RefSeq and is a predicted model, not a curated record. Lineage: Eukaryota; Viridiplantae; Streptophyta; Magnoliopsida; Poales; Poaceae. The transcript has 6 exons.